Long non-coding RNA from Diorhabda carinulata, 827 nucleotides. RefSeq lists it as uncharacterized. The transcript is spliced from 2 exons. NCBI's taxonomy places the organism in Eukaryota, Metazoa, Arthropoda, Insecta, Coleoptera, Chrysomelidae. The record is from RefSeq and is a predicted model, not a curated record.
CCGAAAAAUUAAUUCGGUUCCGUUUUAAUGGGUUCUUCUCUAUUAUAUAAUUGUUUUUUUUUUUCAUAUGAAUACUUACUUUAGAUGUCGAUUCAUUGUUUGAAAUCAACAUAUUUUAUGGCGUAAUGAACAAACAUAGAACUGUAAAUAUACUUACAUAAAUUAUUAUGAGGAAAUGUGUAUACAGGGCUGUCUUAGUCCCGAUUGACUCAGGAAUUAAUAUGUUCCUGCUAGUGCCUCAGCCUCUUCUAUAUCAUCAGGUAGUUUGCAAUCAAGGGUUUCUGGUAACUUCAAACACAAAACUGCUCCUAUUAAUGGUAAUAUUCCAAAUAUGACUGAUGGAAUCCACGGCUCAACUAUGCCUGCUACAAAAGGUGCUAUCAUCGAUCCUAUUCUAGCACACAUUGAUGCUGUGCCUACACCUAUGUUUCUUACUAUUGUUGGGAAUAGUUCCCCCGAGUAAAUGUAUACCGUGGGAAAAGAUAAUGCCAGGCCAAACAUCCCUAUUGAUGAUAAAGUCGUUUUAAUCCAACUUGGAUCUGUAGGUACAAAUCCUGAAAAUGAAAAAUUUAUUCGUUAUAAAACCAUAUAAUUUUAUCAAUAAAUAUUGAUGUGAAAAAACGUUGGAGUGGAAGAUUAGACAAUCUCAAAGAAGCUCCAACUUUGAAGAUGUUGGUAUAUGUGCUACGCUACGCAUUCUGUGCGCCUUGCGUUUGCCAGAACGCGUUGUGGCUGUUCUGAUAUAGCUAUAACCCGUGUAUUAAACAUUACAUAGCAAUAUUAUAAGAUCUUUAAGUACCUAUUUGUCAAUAAAAGUUUAAAAUGUA